This 497-nucleotide ribosomal RNA is filed under the name uncultured bacterium. RNAcentral describes it as "partial 16S ribosomal RNA". It matches the Rfam family "Bacterial small subunit ribosomal RNA", at positions 28 to 507 of the family's 1533-position model. The record is from RNAcentral.
GAUGAACGCUGGCGGCGUGCCUAAUACAUGCAAGUCGAGCGAACAGACGAGGAGCUUGCUCCUCUGACGUUAGCGGCGGACGGGUGAGUAACACGUGGAUAACCUACCUAUAAGACUGGGAUAACUUCGGGAAACCGGAGCUAAUACCGGAUAUUAUAUUGAACCGCAUGGUUCAAUAGUGAAAGACGGUUUUGCUGUCACUUAUAGAUGGAUCCGCGCCGCAUUAGCUAGUUGGUAAGGUAACGGCUUACCAAGGCAACGAUGCGUAGCCGACCUGAGAGGGUGAUCGGCCCCACUGGAACUGAGACACGGUCCAGACUCCUACGGGAGGCAGCAGUAGGGAAUCUUCCGCAAUGGGCGAAAGCCUGACGGAGCAACGCCGCGUGAGUGAUGAAGGUCUUCGGAUCGUAAAACUCUGUUAUUAGGGAAGAACAAAUGUGUAAGUAACUAUGCACGUCUUGACGGUACCUAAUCAGAAAGCCACGGCUAACUACGUG